UACGACGGCCAAAGUGGUGGUGACACACCUGGUCUCGUCCGAUCCCAGAAGUUAAGUCCACCUACGUUCCCUGUGGUACUGUUGUGCGCGAGCCAACGGGAAGCUUGGCCCCGCAAGGG
RNAcentral lists this ribosomal RNA (119 nucleotides) under Thermoplasmatota archaeon. The record is from RNAcentral. RNAcentral also lists the same sequence under 2 other names. Lineage: Archaea; Methanobacteriati; Thermoplasmatota.